This 253-nucleotide ribosomal RNA is filed under the name uncultured bacterium. RNAcentral describes it as "partial 16S ribosomal RNA". It matches the Rfam family "Bacterial small subunit ribosomal RNA", at positions 524 to 776 of the family's 1533-position model. The record is from RNAcentral.
UACAGAGGGGGCAAGUGUUGUUCGGAAUUACUGGGCGUAAAGGGCGCGUAGGCGGCCUUCUAAGUCGAACGUGAAAUCCCCGGGCUCAACCCGGGAACUGCGUCCGAUACGGGCAGACUAGAGUUCGGCAGGGGAGACUGGAAUUCCUGGUGUAGCGGUGAAAUGCGCAGAUAUCAGGAGGAACACCGGUGGCGAAGGCGGGUCUCUGGGCCGAUACUGACGCUGAGGAGCGAAAGCGUGGGGAGCGAACAGG